ACUUAAAUUGAAGAGUUUGAUCAUGGCUCAGAUUGAACGCUGGCGGCAGGCCUAACACAUGCAAGUCGAACGGUAACAGGAAGCAGCUUGCUGCUUCGCUGACGAGUGGCGGACGGGUGAGUAAUGUCUGGGAAACUGCCUGAUGGAGGGGGAUAACUACUGGAAACGGUAGCUAAUACCGCAUAAUGUCGCAAGACCAAAGAGGGGGACCUUCGGGCCUCUUGCCAUCGGAUGUGCCCAGAUGGGAUUAGCUAGUAGGUGGGGUAACGGCUCACCUAGGCGACGAUCCCUAGCUGGUCUGAGAGGAUGACCAGCCACACUGGAACUGAGACACGGUCCAGACUCCUACGGGAGGCAGCAGUGGGGAAUAUUGCACAAUGGGCGCAAGCCUGAUGCAGCCAUGCCGCGUGUAUGAAGAAGGCCUUCGGGUUGUAAAGUACUUUCAGCGGGGAGGAAGGCGAUAAGGUUAAUAACCUUGUCGAUUGACGUUACCCGCAGAAGAAGCACCGGCUAACUCCGUGCCAGCAGCCGCGGUAAUACGGAGGGUGCAAGCGUUAAUCGGAAUUACUGGGCGUAAAGCGCACGCAGGCGGUCUGUCAAGUCGGAUGUGAAAUCCCCGGGCUCAACC
Molecule: ribosomal RNA, 628 nt
Filed under: Enterobacter cloacae subsp. cloacae GS1
Lineage: Bacteria; Pseudomonadati; Pseudomonadota; Gammaproteobacteria; Enterobacterales; Enterobacteriaceae
Description: bacterial SSU rRNA
Rfam family: Bacterial small subunit ribosomal RNA
Source: RNAcentral